AAAGGGAAACGAUUGAAGUCAGUCGUAUAGCGGGAAAUCACCUUUCGAGUGGGGAUUUGGAGUUUUGAACUGUGUUAAAACCUUUGAGAUUUCAAUAUUUUCGCUCUUUUGGUGUACUUUCUCGCAGGUAGG
Molecule: ribosomal RNA, 132 nt
Filed under: uncultured Glomeromycotina
Lineage: Eukaryota; Fungi; Glomeromycota
Description: partial 28S ribosomal RNA
Source: RNAcentral